CCUACGGGUGGCUGCAGUGGGGAAUAUUGGACAAUGGGCGAAAGCCUGAUCCAGCCAUGCCGCGUGUGUGAAGAAGGCCUUCGGGUUGUAAAGCACUUUCAGUGGGGAAGAAAGCCUUGGGGCUAAUACCCUCGAGGAAGGACAUCACCCACAGAAGAAGCACCGGCUAACUCCGUGCCAGCAGCCGCGGUAAUACGGAGGGUGCGAGCGUUAAUCGGAAUUACUGGGCGUAAAGCGCGCGUAGGCGGUCUGAUAAGCCGGUUGUGAAAGCCCCGGGCUCAACCUGGGAACGGCAUCCGGAACUGUCAGGCUAGGGUGCAGGAGAGGAAGGUAGAAUUCCCGGUGUAGCGGUGAAAUGCGUAGAGAUCGGGAGGAAUACCAGUGGCGAAGGCGGCCUUCUGGACUGACACUGACGCUGAGGUGCGAAAGCGUGGGUAGCAAACAGGAUUAGAUACCCCGGUAGUC
Molecule: ribosomal RNA, 465 nt
Filed under: Vreelandella stevensii
Lineage: Bacteria; Pseudomonadati; Pseudomonadota; Gammaproteobacteria; Oceanospirillales; Halomonadaceae
Description: partial 16S ribosomal RNA
Rfam family: Bacterial small subunit ribosomal RNA
Source: RNAcentral